GUAGCUAAACUUAUGUACUCCCUGAGGGGUCUGAAAGGGUGGUCAGGUAUUAUAAGGAAAAGUCUAGAAAGGGGCAUUUCAAAGGAGUGUUUAUCUAGAUGCACAGAAACAAUGGACAGGGCUUGCUUAAGGCAAACACAAGACUUUUAGUAAAGUUGUUGCCUGGGGCGUCACUGCCCACGGGGACUUGCCCAGUUAAGACUUUAUAAUCAGAUCAACCUAUGAGGUCAUUUCCUGUAGAUACCUCCACCCCCCUUUUUUUCAUCCACAUCAUGAUUAGAUUGAGGUGAUGUGUCAUCACUUUUCAGUGCAUCAUAUCAAGGGAUGAAUGACGUUAACUUUGAUCACUUAAUGAAAAUGGUGUCUGCUGGGUGUCUCCACUAUAAGGUGACUGUUUUCCCCUUGUGAUUAAUAAAUAACUUAAAAGAGAUCAUUUGAAAUUGUACAAAUAUCCUGUUUCUCCUCAGACUUUGCCCAAUAAUUUCAGCAUCUGCCAGUGGGUCUUUCCCUCACCAAUUAUAACUGUAGUGUUCCAAUCUUAAUUUCUAAUUCCUUCUGCAUUUAUUACUUGAAAUUAUGAAAGGAAGCACUGUCGCUUCUCCUCCACACAUUUAUUUAUUAAAUUAUUGAUUUAUGUUAAUAUGAACUCAUAGAUAUUCACUUUAUUCUAUGGAUUCUAACCCCGCACUGUUAUUUAUUUUGUUAUUCCAAUGCUCCAGCUAUCCACUGGGAGGUUGACAUGGCUCAUCCUUUUUUGAACACUUCCUUAGUUCUGGCCCCAUGAGAUAAGAUACUCCAGGCUCAUCAUGAAUUUUCCCUCCUCCAGCCCUGUUUACUAUGGACUGGCAGAGUCAAAGGAGCUUUGUGUACAUUGUCAUCUUAAUUCUGAUCCUUAAUCCUUUUACUUUGUUAGAUAGGUAUGAUUUUCUCCAUUUUCAGAAGGAUAAACUGAGGCUUAAAGAAGUUAAGUACAUUAUUCCAUUCUCUCCAGCAAGAAUACUAGUUAGGGUCUCUUGGACUCCAAGGUUUAUGUUCUUUCUGCUGGGUAAAGAAUUAUUUCAGAAGUAAAACAUAAUGUAGGUAUUAUCCACUUCAGCUUCCUCCACCCCUUUUCAGAGAUGAGGAAACUGAGGCCACUAAAUGAAAGGAUCAAGAUUUCUUCAACACUCAGAAGUUGAUGGAAGAAAUGAAUGGAAAACCCUGAUCUUUCAGCACUCAGCCCAGUAUAUCUUUAUAUUCCACAGUUAGUGAUUCUUCUCAGGUGAUUUUCAUUGGUAAAACAACUAAAAAUUUCAAUUCAUUAUUGAAACUUCCUUUGCCUACCUUAUGAUCAAAUAUCAUUUUCCAUUGUGUUUGCCAGCAACCAUGAAUGGGAUUUUGAGCCUGUGUCAUUUUUAUCUGUCAAGAAAUACUGCAUCAAAGAAAGAAUUAAACAAUAGCCCCUCAUACUGCCCAUACUGAAAAUAAGUGACAUUACCACGUUAAUUCCAAAAUGAUCUCUUGUGCAAUAUAAAUUCAUUUGAAAAUGGUAUUUUCUGAAACAAAA
Molecule: long non-coding RNA, 1546 nt
Organism: Pteropus alecto (black flying fox)
Lineage: Eukaryota; Metazoa; Chordata; Mammalia; Chiroptera; Pteropodidae
Exons: 2
Source: RefSeq, a predicted model, not a curated record